GGGUGAGUAACACGUGGGUGAUCUGCCCUGCACUUCGGGAUAAGCCUGGGAAACUGGGUCUAAUACCGGAUAUGACCAAAGGCUGCAUGGCUUUUGGUGGAAAGGUUUACUGGUGCAGGAUGGGCCCGCGGCCUAUCAGCUUGUUGGUGGGGUAAUGGCCUACCAAGGCGACGACGGGUAGCCGACCUGAGAGGGUGACCGGCCACACUGGGACUGAGACACGGCCCAGACUCCUACGGGAGGCAGCAGUGGGGAAUAUUGCACAAUGGGCGAAAGCCUGAUGCAGCGACGCCGCGUGAGGGAUGAAGGCCUUCGGGUUGUAAACCUCUUUCAGCAGGGACGAAGCGAAAGUGACGGU
RNAcentral lists this ribosomal RNA (358 nucleotides) under grassland soil bacterium TSA-10. RNAcentral describes it as "bacterial SSU rRNA". It matches the Rfam family "Bacterial small subunit ribosomal RNA", at positions 104 to 476 of the family's 1533-position model. The record is from RNAcentral.